CACGUAGUUAGCCGGCGCUUCAUACCCGGCUACCGUCAACCCCGCCGCAACGGACAGGGCCUUCACCACCGGAGAAAGAGGUUCACAACCCGAAGGCCUCCAUCCCUCACGCGACGUCGCUGCAUCAGGCUUCCGCCCAUUGUGCAAUACCCCCCCGACUGCUGCCUCCCGCAGGAGUCUGGGCCGUGUCUCAGUCCCAGUGUGGCCGCCCACCCUCUCAGGCCGGCUACCCGUCACCGCCUUGGUGGGCCAUCACCCCACCAACAAGCUGAUAGGCCGCGAGCCCAUCCCCCACCGAAACACCCGAAGAUGAAACUAUCCCGACCAGGCCCAUGCGGACCAGCCGGCACACCCCGUAUUAGCCGCCCUUUCAAGCAGUUAUCCAGGAGCAGGGGCAGGUUACUCACGUGAUACUCACCCGUUCGCCACUCAACCCACCCCAAAAAACAGGGCGGCCCGUCGACUUGCAUGUGUUAAGCACGCCGCCAGCGUCGUCCUCGUGCCACGGAGUACGAAACUACUACUCGUACGUACG
RNAcentral lists this ribosomal RNA (535 nucleotides) under uncultured Actinomyces sp. Its description in RNAcentral is "partial 16S ribosomal RNA". The record is from RNAcentral. Lineage: Bacteria; Bacillati; Actinomycetota; Actinomycetes; Actinomycetales; Actinomycetaceae.